UAAGGAAUAUUGGUCAAUGGGCGAAAGCCUGAACCAGCCAUGCCGCGUGAGGGAUGAAGGUCCUCUGGAUUGUAAACCUCUUUUAUCUGUGAAUAAAUGUCUCGUUUCUACGGGAUUUGAAGGUAAUAGAUGAAUAAGCACCGGCUAACUCCGUGCCAGCAGCCGCGGUAAUACGGAGGGUGCAAGCGUUAUCCGGAUUCACUGGGUUUAAAGGGUGCGUAGGUUGAUGGGUAAGUCAGUGGUGAAAUACUCCGACUCAAUCGGAGAACUGCCGUUGAUACUAUCCAUCUUGAAUACGGUGGAGGCGGGCGGAAUGCGUCAUGUAGUGGUGAAAUACUUAGAUAUGACGCAGAACACCUAUUGCGAAGGCAGCUCGCUACACCGGCAUUGACACUGAGGCACGAAAGCGUGGGGAUCAAACAGGAUUAGAUACCCCGGUAGUCC
Molecule: ribosomal RNA, 444 nt
Filed under: uncultured bacterium
Lineage: Bacteria
Description: bacterial SSU rRNA
Rfam family: Bacterial small subunit ribosomal RNA
Source: RNAcentral